Molecule: ribosomal RNA, 253 nt
Filed under: uncultured bacterium
Lineage: Bacteria
Description: partial 16S ribosomal RNA
Rfam family: Bacterial small subunit ribosomal RNA
Source: RNAcentral
UACAGAGGUCUCAAGCGUUGUUCGGAUUCAUUGGGCGUAAAGGGCGCGUAGGCGGCGGGGUAAGUCGGGUGUGAAAUCUCAGAGCUCAACUCUGAAAUGGCACUUGAUACUGCUCUGCUAGAGGACUGGAGAGGAGAUUGGAAUUCACGGUGUAGCAGUGAAAUGCGUAGAUAUCGUGAGGAAGACCAGUGGCGAAGGCGGAUCUCUGGACAGCUCCUGACGCUGAGGCGCGAAGGCUAGGGGAGCAAACGGG